Long non-coding RNA from Triticum aestivum (bread wheat), 2766 nucleotides. RefSeq lists it as uncharacterized. The record is from RefSeq and is a predicted model, not a curated record. NCBI's taxonomy places the organism in Eukaryota, Viridiplantae, Streptophyta, Magnoliopsida, Poales, Poaceae. The transcript has 3 exons.
GCCGUGCGUUCCUCACCUCUCGCAACCCUCCAGCGCCGCCCCUAUCUGCCGUCUCUUCUAUGCGUAGACGCGCCGGCCGGACUCCAAGCGCGGUCACCUCCACCAUCUACGUGCUUCGCUGCCCACGGCAGCCCGCUCGCUGCAGCCAUGCUCCCCACGCCUCGCCUGUCCCGACAGCCCUCUCAGACUUCCUCUCUCGGGCCACAACACAACGGCGGCGGCGGCGUACAGCGGGAGUAGGCGGAGCAGGAAGACCCCUCUCCCACACGUCUCUCCCUCGACCUCCCUCAGCAGCGUCGCAACUUCUCAGCCACGGCCUCUACCCGCUGGCGGCUGGUGGCGGAAGCGAGCCGCCUGCCACAUGCCUCCUCCGCCUUUGCCGUCCUUUGAUCCCCAGCACCCUGCCUACCUUGGCCGCCGCCACCUCUCUCUCUCUCUCUCUCUCUCUCUCUCUCUCUCUGAUCCAAUUCUUACUUUUUGAUGUGCUACUUCUGUUCAUGUGGAUGGGUCGCUGAUUCAAAUCCUCCUAUUUGAAGUGUGGUUGUACAAAAAUAUGAAUCCUCUUUUUUCAGUGACCAAUAGGUGUUUGUGUUAAUGCGUAGGAAGAGAAACCAAGCUGAUUGUGUUUCGAAUAUUUUGAUAUUAAGAUGUUCUGCAACAUUUACUCUUAUAGUCUUCCUAGAAUAUCACUGAAGGCUAAGAAUGUUGUUCGCCGCUGCCCACCGUGAUCUCUGAUGCGUUUCGUUGGGGGCCCGACACGACGAAGGAGAAGCCCUGUUCCCAGGCAUUCCCAGAUCGCGGGGUCUGAUGCCCAAGGCGCAUGGGGAGAUGUUGCCGGCGGUGUGGUGGACUGCGAGGACGAGGAGCUUGGGCUGCUAUUUGACUACUUCCGUGUACAACAGCGAUCUAUGUGAGGCGCACCAUCGACUUCUGCUAGGUGGUGGAAGAAUCGGUGGUGGAGGCGGAUUGUGUUGGAAAGUGAGCAGCGGCGCUAUCAAACGGUAGCAUGGGCAUUUUGCCGCCUCUGCUCACCGUUGAGGACGCAGCAGCAAGGUUAGUAUACCAACUUGAUGAAAUGGCUUAACAGAGUGAUGAGAAAAAUCGAAUGAGCUCGGGAGCAGAACAUGACUUCCGCUAAGAUACUUCCUAUUAAUCUUCUCUGGGUGGAAGAUCUACUUCAGUGAUGAAGUACCCAUUGUUCCUGAACAUAAUAUUAUGAACUGUAUGGACUUGCGUACAUAUGUUUCUAUUUAACUUUAGCGCUGGACAUGUACGUUGUCUGUCUUCUCUAUAAUUCGAAAGUGAAAUAUUUACAACUUUAUUUAAUGAUGUCAAAAGGUAUGACGAUGUAUUUCUGUCCUUUCUCAAAAUUGAGGCACUGAAGUGGAUUGAGCAGAGGGACACUCUGACUUUAUGAGUGUCUUGAUCAUUUUGCAUAUCAAGAAAGUUGAAAAAGAGAAAUUCUAUGUUCUCUUUGCGCUUAGUUUACUACGUUUAAUCUGCUGAUAUAGGUAUUGGCCUGCCAGAUCUCUUGCAUUGCAAUCUAUAUGAAAGAAAGUUGAGAGUGUUUCUUGAAGGACAAUGGCACCAGUGCACAGAACAAUUGGCCCGGCCUUCCAAAGAACCAUGAUGUAAAAGAAACAAUCUUGAGAGGCACUGCCCAUGGUUCAGUUUUCAUUGAAAAUGAAACCAAGUCCAUGAUGUAUAAUCAGGCAGCAUAAGGUAAUUAUUCAUUGGUAGGCAGUACUUACAUUCCCUUAUUUGUUAUGAUUUCUAAGGAUUUUAAAAUUCUUGGCACAAUUUUUCUAUGGUUUUUAGUUGUUUUGUGUUGUUCAGACCUUAGAUUAGAAGUGCUGCUUCUUCGGAAGCACUAACUUGCUUUUCACAUUUACUAUGACAAAUAAUUUUGCUGAUUAGGAUAUGAGAAUAGAAGAUAUAACUUGGUAGGCUCUAAGUGCAGAACCUAUUAAGCAUUGAAGGAUGGUAAAUCUGUGAGUGUGUCGGGGCUGCUGGAAUUGAAGGAGGACAGUAGAAGCAAUCAAAAGGAGAAUUGUUAGAUAUAGUUUUAUUUUGGAUAUGAUUCGUUUUAUCCAAGACAUGGCUGUUGGAGGCUACUAGCCAACCAUCCAACUUUAACAAAGAUACAUGUAUCUGUUGUAGGCGAGCACUUCUCAUUGACUUGCCUUUGGAACAACACUACUCUACAUAUAAACCUUGUAAGCGCCUGGCUUAGACCAGUUGUGUAGGUAGGUAUACAGUAAAAUUGUUAAGACACUAUACUCCCUGUGAUAUAAUUACUUGAAUGGGAACCAUGUUUAGUUAUCUAAUUUAAUGGAAGUCGGUACGUACCACUAUGAUGCUAAGUUGUUCCAUGAUUGUGGCAUGUGCCAUUCUUUAGAAAAAUAUGAUCGUAUUCUCCAUGGUGACUGCAACUUGACGCCGUCAAAGUUGCCUCUCUUCCUUCCCUCUGUCUUUGGUACGGGUCCACUUCUCUUUUCUUCCCUGCUUGGUCAUCUCUUUUUUACUGGCUUUAUCUCCCUCAGGAGCUAGAUUAACGAACAAUGCUGGAAGCCCUGCUUUGAAAGAGACGGGUAAUUUAUCAUGCUCUUUGUGAUUUGAACUAGAUUUUUAAGGCUUCAAAUUCUCAUGUUCUUGAUUUGUCUUUCUUUUUGUUCAUUUCAACGGUGUGAUUAUUUAUCUCAGCGUGCAGAGUAUCUUAGUUGCAAUUCUAUAUCGAAGGCCAGUGAUUAUAUUGAUGAGGUUGAG